CCACAUCACUAUACAAUGCGGCAGUUGUGUGCGGCCGGUAACAGUAAUUUUGUCGGCGGGCCAUCGGCAGACAGUCACUCACUCGUGCUGUGUAUGCAUAUUCGACGUGAAACAACUCAUUCAGGUGUUCGUUCCGUGGCUCGCUGGUAAUGCGGUGAAACUGGUAACGCCCUUGCCCAUAGUGCCAGCAUCCAACAAACCACCUACUACACAUGUGUAUGUACCGCGUCACAGGCCAGCGUUUUUGGACUGUGUGUCAUUCGCACGCUUGCAGAACACCCCCGAACCCAAAGCAUCUCGCUCCCCGCUGUUCUGUCUGCCGUUUGUCACUAGUAGUAAUAAACUGCUGGCAGGGGCAGCUAAGGUUGAGGGUCGCUCGAUCGGGCGCCUAUGCGGGGAAUGAUUCAGUAAACACAGCCAACUGUUUUGGAGUAUUUUAAGCAUGGAACGGUGCGAGUGGAACACGAGAAUCAUUAGUCUGCGGAAUACACUGCUCUGUUGGUGCGCACUAGUUAUCGUUGCACACAACAAAGGGGUCAAUGGACAAGACUGCCUGUUUCGAGCUGACCUUUGUGAUUGGUCAAACCAUGGGGAUGUGGACUGGGUGCAGAGUUCGGAGUUUGCUACGACGGGAACAGCGCACUGUGCUCAGGUACCGAUCAG
This is a long non-coding RNA of Acanthaster planci (crown-of-thorns starfish), 663 nucleotides long. The record is from RefSeq and is a predicted model, not a curated record. Lineage: Eukaryota; Metazoa; Echinodermata; Asteroidea; Valvatida; Acanthasteridae.